Long non-coding RNA from Neofelis nebulosa (Clouded leopard), 550 nucleotides. RefSeq lists it as uncharacterized. Lineage: Eukaryota; Metazoa; Chordata; Mammalia; Carnivora; Felidae. The record is from RefSeq and is a predicted model, not a curated record. The transcript is spliced from 2 exons.
UUAAUAUUUCUGCAACGUAUGAAAUAAACAUUCACACUAAUUCAUAUGAAUGAAGCCUCUAAAUAUGUUUUUCUCAUGUCAGAUCAAGCUUUUGCCACAAAAUCAGUUACAACAUUUUUUCUGUUUUCAUGGUUUUUGUCUUGUUUUUACAUUUUGCAAACUGUGGAUAAAGGAAGAUGGACCUGUUUAUCAUAACAAAAUGAGAAGACAUUUUAGGAGUGCUUCAGUUCACCUUUUGCUUAUGAGUAGGGAGGGACUAGGCAAAAAUGAAGUACGUAGGGGUACAGUGGCUCCCUUGCAACAAAGAAGUGGUCAGCAUGAAGAUGAAAGCCUCAUGUUCAGGAUGGUGGAAGUGAAAAGCAGGAAAAGCCUCUUGAGCCUCCAGGGCAACGUUGGACUACCCCAGCUUCUUGUUGCACAGGGCAAGUGUAUCAUUUAAGAUACUGUUUUUGAGUCUGUUAUUUGCACCUACACAUUCCUAAAUGCUGUGCAGUAUCACUGAUUUUUCCCCUCUUUUUUAUUUUUAUAUGCAAUAAACUGACUCUACCCA